RNAcentral lists this ribosomal RNA (348 nucleotides) under Ceramius socius. Its description in RNAcentral is "partial 12S ribosomal RNA". Lineage: Eukaryota; Metazoa; Arthropoda; Insecta; Hymenoptera; Vespidae. The record is from RNAcentral.
UAACAUGUAAAUAAAUAAGGUUAAAGUAUUAAAUGGUAUAUCAUUAAAUUUAUAUAAUUUGGCGGUAUUUUAUUCAAAUUAGAGGAAUCUGUUUUGUAAAUGAUGUUCCACGAUUGGAGUUACUUAAUAUUGAAUAUUUAUGUAUUGUUGUUUAUAGGUAUGUUUAAAAAAAUUUUAUUAUAAUAGAGAGUGUUUAAUAAUUCAAAUCAAAAUGUAGUAGAUUUUUAAGAAAUUAAUGGAUUACAAUAAAAUAUAUUUAUAUGAAUUUAUAUUUUUAAUAAUAUAAUGAAGGUGGAUUUAAAAGUAUAAUAAUUUAAAUAUUUUAUUUGAAAAAGUUAUGAAAUAUGU